CGUUACGACAGAAGCGUAUUGCGUUGAAUUGAGGGCUGUUUAACUCUUCAGCUGAACGUGAGUUUAGUGUACUGAGUUAAGUAGUUAUCCGUCGUGCCUUUUCUGUGGCUGAUAUUGAGCCGCGGGAGAGGGAGGGAUCCCCUUUAUGGGUGAGGACGAUGGAGUGGCAACGCGAUGCGACCCGUCUUGAAACACGGACCAAGGAGUCUAACAUGUUUGCGAGUUGAAGGGUAGUAAACCUGGAGGCGCAGUGAAAGCGAACUUCUAAAACGGACAGUUUGUGGCGGCAUAAAAUCGUUGAUUUUAGGUCUGACUAAGAGCAAAUAUGUUAGGACCCGAAAGAUGGUGAACUAUGCUUGAGUAGGCCGAAGGCAGAAGAAAUUCUGCUGGAGGGCCGAAGCGGUGCUGACGUGCAAAUCGCUCGUCGAACUCGAGUAUAGGGGCGAAAGACUAAUCGAACCAUCUAGUAGCUGGUUCCCUCCGAAGUUUCUCUCAGGAUAGCGGGCCGACAAUUAUUGUUUUGUGCGGUAAAGCGAAUGAUUAGCGCACUCGGGGGCAUUCAGUCUUCGGUCGAUUCUCAAACUUUUAAUGCGCAAGGGGGCUGCAGCUUAGGUGUGCGGCUCCUCUAAAAAUGUCGGCCUUGUGGGCCACUUUUGGUAAGCAG
Molecule: ribosomal RNA, 664 nt
Filed under: Lomentaria articulata
Lineage: Eukaryota; Rhodophyta; Florideophyceae; Rhodymeniales; Lomentariaceae
Description: eukaryotic LSU rRNA
Rfam family: Eukaryotic large subunit ribosomal RNA
Source: RNAcentral